RNAcentral lists this ribosomal RNA (857 nucleotides) under uncultured bacterium. RNAcentral describes it as "bacterial SSU rRNA". It matches the Rfam family "Bacterial small subunit ribosomal RNA", at positions 28 to 892 of the family's 1533-position model. The record is from RNAcentral.
GAUGAACGCUAGCGGCAGGCUUAACACAUGCAAGUCGAGGGGUAUGGUUCUUCGGAACCAGAGACCGGCGCACGGGUGCGUAACGCGUAUGCAAUCUACCUUUUACAGAGGGAUAGCCCAGAGAAAUUUGGAUUAAUACCUCAUAGUAUUACGACUCGGCAUCGAGAUGUAAUUAAAGUCACAACGGUAAAAGAUGAGCAUGCGUCCCAUUAGCUUGUUAGUAAGGUAACGGCUUACCAAGGCAACGAUGGGUAGGGGUCCUGAGAGGGAGAUCCCCCACACUGGUACUGAGACACGGACCAGACUCCUACGGGAGGCAGCAGUGAGGAAUAUUGGUCAAUGGGCGCAAGCCUGAACCAGCCAUGCCGCGUGCAGGAUGAAGCAUCUAUGGUGUGUAAACUGCUUUUGUACGAGAAGAAACACUCCUUCGUGAAGGAGCUUGACGGUAUCGUAAGAAUAAGGACCGGCUAACUCCGUGCCAGCAGCCGCGGUAAUACGGAGGGUCCAAGCGUUAUCCGGAAUCAUUGGGUUUAAAGGGUCCGUAGGCGGUUUUGUAAGUCAGUGGUGAAAGCCCAUCGCUCAACGGUGGAACGGCCAUUGAUACUGCAAGACUUGAAUUAUUGGGAAGCAACUAGAAUAUGUAGUGUAGCGGUGAAAUGCUUAGAUAUUACAUGGAAUACCAAUUGCGAAGGCAGGUUGCUACCAAUACAUUGACGCUGAUGGACGAAAGCGUGGGGAGCGAACAGGAUUAGAUACCCUGGUAGUCCACGCCGUAAACGAUGGAUACUAGCUGUUGGGAGCGAUCUCAGUGGCUAAGCGAAAGUGAUAAGUAUCCCACUGGGGAGUACGUUCGCAAG